This 253-nucleotide ribosomal RNA is filed under the name uncultured bacterium. RNAcentral's name for it is "partial 16S ribosomal RNA". It matches the Rfam family "Bacterial small subunit ribosomal RNA", at positions 524 to 776 of the family's 1533-position model. The record is from RNAcentral.
AACGUAGGUGGCAAGCGUUAUCCGGAAUUACUGGGCGUAAAGGGUGUGCAGGCGGGGAAGCAAGUGGUGUAUGAAAUAUCCCAGCUUAACUGGGAGGGGUUAUGCCAGACUGCUUUUCUAGAGGACGAGAGAGGGGGGUGGAAUUCCGGGUGUAGUGGUGAAAUGCGUAGAGAUGCGGAGGAACACCGAUGGCGAAGGCAGCCCCCUGGGCUGACACUGACGCUCAGGCACGAAAGCGUGGGGAGCAAACAGG